UUAGAUAGAGGUCGCACGAUUCAUCAGUAUUCCUUUAGAUGUAGCAGCUACAGAGGAUGAAGGGAGAAAGGGGAAAGUGCCGAAAGAGGGAGUCCGCUGCAGGCUUCUUCUUGGGCAUGGGGUUAACAGCCACAUGACUGUCAUCUUAUACUUAUAGCAAGGUGAUGAGCUAUAG
This 175-nucleotide non-coding RNA is filed under the name human gut metagenome. RNAcentral's name for it is "Lysine riboswitch". It matches the Rfam family "Lysine riboswitch aptamer". Rfam says of the family: Riboswitches are metabolite binding domains within certain messenger RNAs that serve as precision sensors for their corresponding targets. Allosteric rearrangement of mRNA structure is mediated by ligand binding, and this results in modulation of gene expression. The record is from RNAcentral.